RNAcentral lists this ribosomal RNA (1017 nucleotides) under uncultured bacterium. RNAcentral's name for it is "bacterial SSU rRNA". It matches the Rfam family "Bacterial small subunit ribosomal RNA", at positions 32 to 1050 of the family's 1533-position model. The record is from RNAcentral.
AGUAUUGGCGGCAGGCUACACAUGCAGUCGAGCGGCAGCGGGUCCUUCGGGAUGCCGGCGAGCGGCGGACGGGUGAGUAAUGCCUAGGAAUCUGCCUAGUAGUGGGGGAUAACUCGGGGAAACUCGAGCUAAUACCGCAUACGUCCUACGGGAGAAAGCGGGGGACCUUCGGACCUCGCGCUACCAGAUGAGCCUAGGUCGGAUUAGCUAGUUGGUGAGGUAAAGGCUCACCAAGGCGACGAUCCGUAGCUGGUCUGAGAGGAUGAUCAGCCACACUGGAACUGAGACACGGUCCAGACUCCUACGGGAGGCAGCAGUGGGGAAUAUUGGACAAUGGGCGAAAGCCUGAUCCAGCCAUGCCGCGUGUGUGAAGAAGGUCUUCGGAUUGUAAAGCACUUUAAGUUGGGAGGAAGGGCAGUAAGCUAAUACCUUGCUGUUUUGACGUUACCGACAGAAUAAGCACCGGCUAACUUCGUGCCAGCAGCCGCGGUAAUACGAAGGGCGCAAGCGUUAAUCGGAAUUACUGGGCGUAAAGCGCGCGUAGGUGGUUUGAUAAGUUGAAUGUGAAAGCCCCGGGCUCAACCUGGGAAUUGCAUCCAAAACUGUCUGACUAGAGUAUGGCAGAGGGUGGUGGAAUUUCCUGUGUAGCGGUGAAAUGCGUAGAUAUAGGAAGGAACACCAGUGGCGAAGGCGACCACCUGGGCUAAUACUGACACUGAGGUGCGAAAGCGUGGGGGAGCAAACAGGAUUAGAUACCCUGAUAGUCCACGCCGUAACCGAUGUCGACUAGCCGUUGGGAUCCUUGAGAUCUUAGUGGCGCAGCUAACGCAUUAAGUCGACCGCCUGGGGAGUACGGGCCGCAAGGUUAAAACUCAAAUGAAUUUGACGGGGGCCCGCACAAGCGGUGGAGCAUGUGGUUUAAUUCGAGCAACGCGAGACCUUACCAGGCCUUGACAUGCAGAGACUUUCCAGAGAUGGAUUGUGCCUUCGGGACUCUGACCACAGUGCUGCAUGGCU